RNAcentral lists this ribosomal RNA (494 nucleotides) under uncultured bacterium. Its description in RNAcentral is "partial 16S ribosomal RNA". It matches the Rfam family "Bacterial small subunit ribosomal RNA", at positions 28 to 507 of the family's 1533-position model. The record is from RNAcentral.
GACGAACGCUGGCGGCGUGCUUAACACAUGCAAGUCGAACGGUGAAGCGCCUUCCUUUUUGGUGGGUGUGGAUGAGUGGCGAACGGGUGAGUAACACGUGAGUAACCUGCCCCCUUCUUCUGGAUAACCGCAUGAAAGUGUGGCUAAUACGGGAUAUUCUGGGUCUGUCGCAUGAUGGGUCUGGGAAAGAUAUUGUUUCGGUGGGGGAUGGGCUCGCGGCCUAUCAGCUUGUUGGUGGGGUGAUGGCCUACCAAGGCGGUGACGGGUAGCCGGCCUGAGAGGGUGGACGGUCACACUGGGACUGAGACACGGCCCAGACUCCUACGGGAGGCAGCAGUGGGGAAUAUUGCACAGUGGGGGCAAGCCUGAUGCAGCGACGCCGCGUGAGGGAUGGAGGCCUGCGGGUUGUGAACCUCUUUCGCCAGUGAAGCAGGCCUGCCUCGUUUGUGGGUGGGUUGACGGUAGCUGGAUAAGAAGCGCCGGCUAACUACGUG